UAGGGAAUCUUCGGCAAUGGGGGCAACCCUGACCGAGCAACGCCGCGUGAGUGAAGAAGGUUUUCGGAUCGUAAAGCUCUGUUGUAAGAGAAGAACGUGUGUGAGAGUGGAAAGUUCACACAGUGACGGUAACUUACCAGAAAGGGACGGCUAACUACGUGCCAGCAGCCGCGGUAAUACGUAGGUCCCGAGCGUUGUCCGGAUUUAUUGGGCGUAAAGCGAGCGCAGGCGGUUUAAUAAGUCUGAAGUUAAAGGCAGUGGCUUAACCAUUGUUAGCUUUGGAAACUGUUAAACUUGAGUGCAGAAGGGGAGAGUGGAAUUCCAUGGGGAGCGGUGAAAUGCGUAGAUAUAUGGAGGAACACCGGUGGCGAAAGCGGCUCUCUGGUCUGUAACUGACGCUGAGGCUCGAAAGCGUGGGGAGCAAACAGG
This 429-nucleotide ribosomal RNA is filed under the name bacterium. RNAcentral describes it as "partial 16S ribosomal RNA". It matches the Rfam family "Bacterial small subunit ribosomal RNA", at positions 355 to 776 of the family's 1533-position model. The record is from RNAcentral.